This 469-nucleotide ribosomal RNA is filed under the name uncultured bacterium. RNAcentral describes it as "bacterial SSU rRNA". It matches the Rfam family "Bacterial small subunit ribosomal RNA", at positions 335 to 794 of the family's 1533-position model. The record is from RNAcentral.
ACUCCUACGGGAGGCAGCAGUGGGGAAUAUUGCACAAUGGGGGAAACCCUGAUGCAGCCAUGCCGCGUGUGUGAAGAAGGCCUUCGGGUUGUAAAGCACUUUCAGUAGGGAGGAAGGUAGUGUAGUUAACACCUGCAUUAUUUGACGUUACCUACAGAAGAAGCACCGGCUAACUCUGUGCCAGCAGCCGCGGUAAUACAGAGGGUGCGAGCGUUAAUCGGAUUUACUGGGCGUAAAGCGUGCGUAGGCGGCUUUUUAAGUCGGAUGUGAAAUCCCUGAGCUUAACUUAGGAAUUGCAUUCGAUACUGGGAAGCUAGAGUAUGGGAGAGGAUGGUAGAAUUCCAGGUGUAGCGGUGAAAAUGCGUAGAGAUCUGGAGGAAUACCGAUGGCGAAGGCAGCCAUCUGGCCUAAUACUGACGCUGAGGUACGAAAGCAUGGGGAGCAAACAGGAUUAGAUACCCUGGUAGGU